GCGGUGGUAGCUCAGUUGGUAGAGCAGUGGAUUGUGAUUCCGCUGGUCGCGGGUUCGAUCCCCGUCCAUCGCCCCA
Molecule: transfer RNA, 76 nt
Filed under: Chromatiales bacterium
Lineage: Bacteria; Pseudomonadati; Pseudomonadota; Gammaproteobacteria; Chromatiales
Also listed under: 1 other name
Description: tRNA-His
Rfam family: tRNA
About the family: Transfer RNA (tRNA) molecules are approximately 80 nucleotides in length.
Source: RNAcentral